GAGAAGCUGGACAAAAUUAAUAUAACAAUCAUCCGUUAAGCGAAAUAUUAAUUGAUAUUAACUUAAUAUCAAUAUAAAACUGAACCUUUCGUUAAAUCAAAAACCUGCAGAGAGACUAAUAAGACCCAAUCCGAAGAUUAAAUAUAAAACCUAAAGGAGUACUAGUAAUGAACCCAGAAAAGUUGGAAUUGAACUUAAUGUAUGGGUUGAAUAUAUAACAUUGAGAAGGUAACAUAAAGCCUGAACCUACAAUUGAUUAUUAAACCCAGAGAAGCAUACAUUGAACCUGAACCUAUGGUUUAAUAUAGAACCUGGAAAAAUAUACACGGCACCUAAACCUAUGUUGAUUAUUAAAAACCGGAGAAGCACACACAGAACCAGAACCUAUAGUUUAAUAUAGAACCUGGAGAAAUAUACACGGCACCUGAACCUAUAAUUGAAUAUAAAACCUGGAGAAAUAUACAUGACACCUGAACCUAUGUUGAUUAUUAAAGACCGGAGAAGCAAAACACAGAACCUGAACCUAUAGUUAAAUAUAGAACCAUGAGAAAUAUACACAGAACCUGUACCUAUGUUGAUUAUUAAAGACGCCGGAGAAGCAUACACAGAACCGGAACCUAUGGCUGAAUAAAAACCUGGAGAAAUAUACACGGCACCUAAAACUAUGUUGAUUAUUAAAGACCGGAGAAGCAUGCACAGAACCUGAACCUAUGGUUGAAUAUAGAACCUGGAGAAAUAUACACGGCACCUAAACCCAUGUUGAUUAUUAAAACCAGAGAAGCAUACACAGAACCAGAACCUAUAGUUGAAUAUAGAACCUGGAGAAAUAUACACGGCACCUGAACCUAUGUUGAUUAUUAAAGACCGGAGAAGCAUUCACAGAACCUGAACCUGUAGUUGAAUAUAGAACCUGGAGGAAUAUACACAGAACCUGAACCUAUGUUGAUUAUUAAAGACCGGAAAAGCAUUCACAGAACCUGAACCUAUAGUUGAAUAUAGAACCUGGAGGAAUAUACACAGCACCUGAACCUAUGUUGAUAAUUAAAGACCAGGGAAGCAUACAUAGAACCGGAACCUAUAGUUGAAUAUAGAAACCGGAGGAAUAUACACAGAACCUGAACCUAUGUUGAUUGUUAAAGACCGGAGAAGCACACACAGAACCUGAACCUAUAGUUGAAUAUAGAACCUGGAGAAAUAUACAUGACACCUGAACCUAUGUUGAUUAUUAAAGACCGGAGAAGCAUACACAGAACCUGAACCUAUAGUUGAAUAUAGAACCAGGAGAAAUAUGGAAUGUACAAAUAACUUAAACCUAUGUUUGAACAUGCAACCUGAAAAAUGUAGAUUCUCCCCCCUGAGUAAAAACUGAACCUGAACAAAAACAAAGUAGAAAAGAUGUACUCUUCCAAUGGAACAGAUAAAAUGAAGGAUGCAGACCAAGUAGACAAGGAUGAGAUUGAUUGGUUGGAAGUUGUCUCUAGUGUUCUUGAUGAACAAACAUGUUUGGAGAUGGUUAAAGAGUACAUGCUUCUAGUGCGGGAUAUGAAGCUUCCAGAGGAAACAAAAUGCCAUUUUAAAAAAUGUGUAUUCGACAUAAGUACAGGUAAAAAUGUCGUUUUGCCGUUUAUUGGAUAGAAACAAACAGACAGG
This 1650-nucleotide long non-coding RNA is filed under the name Eurytemora carolleeae. RNAcentral describes it as "uncharacterized LOC111710523". The record is from RNAcentral. Lineage: Eukaryota; Metazoa; Arthropoda; Copepoda; Calanoida; Temoridae.